This 64-nucleotide transfer RNA is filed under the name Dicranocephalus femoralis. RNAcentral's name for it is "tRNA-Glu". It matches the Rfam family "tRNA". Rfam says of the family: Transfer RNA (tRNA) molecules are approximately 80 nucleotides in length. Their secondary structure includes four short double-helical elements and three loops (D, anti-codon, and T loops). Lineage: Eukaryota; Metazoa; Arthropoda; Insecta; Hemiptera; Stenocephalidae. The record is from RNAcentral.
AUUUAUAUAGUUUAACUUAAAACAAUUCAUUUUCAAUGAAUAGAUAGGAAAAUCCUUAUGAAUA